UGGUGGCGAUAGCGAAGAGGUCACACCCGUUCCCAUACCGAACACGGAAGUUAAGCUCUUCAGCGCCGAUGGUAGUCGGGGGUUUCCCCCUGUGAGAGUAGGACGCCGCCAAGCA
RNAcentral lists this ribosomal RNA (115 nucleotides) under Streptococcus pneumoniae. Lineage: Bacteria; Bacillati; Bacillota; Bacilli; Lactobacillales; Streptococcaceae. RNAcentral also lists the same sequence under 15 other names. The record is from RNAcentral.